Molecule: long non-coding RNA, 1814 nt
Organism: Meriones unguiculatus (Mongolian gerbil)
Lineage: Eukaryota; Metazoa; Chordata; Mammalia; Rodentia; Muridae
Exons: 2
Source: RefSeq, a predicted model, not a curated record
UCUCCUCCGGCAACCAUAUCCUUUCCUCAAGGAGUUUUAAGCAGAUAAGCUAAAUCCGAACAAUAUGCUGUACCCGAGAAAGGUGAGGUUUGUAGAACUGUUUUCAUGGGGUAAAUGGCUUCAACGGAAAGGGUUUAAUGGAAGAACACAAGAAUAAACACAAAUGUCUUCACACUUAAGAUGCGCUGUGAUUGACUUCAGUGCUGUGGUGGGAGGGGAGGAGAUAAACAGCCAUCCACUCAGCCUCUCUCUGCUGAAAGUGAUGGCUUCCUUCUAGCUGGCACACUUUGCAGGGGUUGGUUGUGCGCAGCUAGGGGCAUGAGCGUUGUGGCACCGUGGGACACUGUCUCAGCCUGCGAUUUGAGGGUUAUGAGCUCGGGGAAGAGACAGUUAAAGCUUCCUCACGCCAGCGAGAUGAGUUGUACCACACAGCGCCCAUGCCAGGCCAGCAGUCUGGAUGGAGCCGAGACAUUUAACUGCUCGUGCCAAGCAGUGCCAAGCACCUCUGGAAGCCCCUGCGUAGGACCCCAGAUUUAGAUUCAUGCUGCAGUCUGGGGGAGUGUUUUGACGUCUGCCGGGCUACCGUGAACAGCGCACUGCACACUGCCUCUGAGAUGAGACAGAGCUCUCCAGCCUGGGAGUCUGAGGAAGCCGGACCUGGGCAACGCUGCUCAGGGAAUAGAACAGCCCAGCUCACCAGUGGUCAGCAGGUUCCAGGAACAUCACUUCCUUUAUCCAGCAUCCUACCUCUGUGACUUGUAAAGAAACCAACCCAACUUCCAGUGGCACAACAGAGCUCAUGGAUGCCACAUUCUUCAAUAUCUGCACUUCCUCUAACAGUUGGAUAUGUUUUCAUUUGCUGGUCUGGGCAUUGUAAAGACCCCACUAAGUCUAAAAGGAGUGUUGAUAAUUCAAUUUAUAAACCAACUUUCUGAGUAAUCAUUAUGAUAUCCUUUUCUCUUUGUGGCCAAGAAUGUAUACUCUCUUAUCUUUGAUGGUCCCUGACGCUUUUACAUCACGAGACUCAAAGCAGAAGUGUACAGACAAUUAGGAGAUAACUCAAGCUGCUGAAUUUGAAAGCUGGGACAUGACUAGUGGAAAAUCAGUAGAGGUGAAGACCCUUUCAUGAUAAAUUGUGAGUGCAUUUGGACCAUGGGAAUAAUGUAUCUUUGGGCAAGACAAUGGGUGGCUUCUUGUUGAUACCUCCUGCUUGCUAUCUGGUGAAUCUUUGAAAUAAGCACUUUGCUCCCACAGGGUCAUGGAUGGCAUGAGUAUCUUGAGUGUCCUAGGGACAUCAGUGAUAUGACACAACGUGUGGAGGAGCCCCUCUGCUUCUACUGGAACCAUAAUUCAAUGCACAGAAAGGACCUCUGCGUUGGACUCAACCCUGAUGCAUCCUGUCUAUAUGGAUAAGGAGUAUUUUUGGGGAAACACUAAUGCUAAAGAAACUACAGCUUUUCUUCAGAGUUUGGAUCAUUCUGAACUACAUGGACUUAUGCUCAGUGAGUUUUAUGUUCUUUGGAAAUACGUCCUGUCGAUGCUGGUAUUGGAAAGAAAGAUAGAGAAGACACUCUUCCAGACAAGCAAAAGCAGGAGAUAUGACCUUGGCUCUGUGAGCUACCACAGGGAGGAACACAGUGAAGGCCUCUGGAAACUUCCAGAUAAGUGUGGGUGUGUUUUGUCAGAUGCCAGAAAGUGGGUACUGCAGAAGACUUCCUGUGUUUCCUGUGGAUAAAUACUUACACAAAACUAUUUAUUACUGUAAUGCAAGCUGGCUACACUAUGUCUUAUAAAUUUCAUUUGUUUUAACAGUU